RNAcentral lists this ribosomal RNA (433 nucleotides) under uncultured bacterium. RNAcentral describes it as "partial 16S ribosomal RNA". It matches the Rfam family "Bacterial small subunit ribosomal RNA", at positions 29 to 507 of the family's 1533-position model. The record is from RNAcentral.
AGCGAACGCUGGCGGCAGGCCUAACACAUGCAAGUCGAACGGAUCCUUCGGGAUUAGUGGCGGACGGGUGAGUAACACGUGGGAACGUGCCCUUUGGUUCGGAACAACUCAGGGAAACUUGAGCUAAUACCGGAUGUGCCCUUCGGGGGAAAGAUUUAUCGCCAUUGGAGCGGCCCGCGUCUGAUUAGCUAGUUGGUGAGGUAACGGCCCACCAAGGCGACGAUCAGUAGCUGGUCUGAGAGGAUGAUCAGCCACACUGGGACUGAGGCACGGCCCAGACUCCUACGGGAGGCAGCAGUGGGGAAUCUUGCGCAAUGGGCGAAAGCCUGACGCAGCCAUGCCGCGUGAAUGAUGAAGGUCUUAGGAUUGUAAAAUUCUUUCAGCGGGGACGAUAAUGACGGUACCCGCAGAAGAAGCUCCGGCUAACUUCGUG